This 497-nucleotide ribosomal RNA is filed under the name uncultured bacterium. RNAcentral's name for it is "partial 16S ribosomal RNA". It matches the Rfam family "Bacterial small subunit ribosomal RNA", at positions 28 to 507 of the family's 1533-position model. The record is from RNAcentral.
GAUGAACGCUGGCGGCGUGCCUAAUACAUGCAAGUCGAGCGAACGGACGAGAAGCUUGCUUUUCUGAUGUUAGCGGCGGACGGGUGAGUAACACGUGGAUAACCUACCUAUAAGACUGGGAUAACUUCGGGAAACCGGAGCUAAUACCGGAUAAUAUUUUGAACCGCAUGGUUCAAAAGUGAAAGACGGUCUUGCUGUCACUUAUAGAUGGAUCCGCGCUGCAUUAGCUAGUUGGUAAGGUAACGGCUUACCAAGGCAACGAUGCAUAGCCGACCUGAGAGGGUGAUAGGCGACACUGGAACUGAGACACGGUCCAGACUCCUACGGGAGGCAGCAGUAGGGAAUGUUCCGCAAUGGGCGAAAGCCUGACGGAGCAACGCCGCGUGAGUGAUGACGGUCUUCGGAUCGUAAAACUCUGUUAUUAGGGAAGAACAUAUGUGUAAGUAAAUGUGCACAUCUUGACGGUACCUAAUCAGAAAGCCACGGCUAACUACGUG